RNAcentral lists this ribosomal RNA (331 nucleotides) under Clostridioides difficile. RNAcentral's name for it is "bacterial SSU rRNA". It matches the Rfam family "Bacterial small subunit ribosomal RNA", at positions 1212 to 1533 of the family's 1533-position model. The record is from RNAcentral. Lineage: Bacteria; Bacillati; Bacillota; Clostridia; Peptostreptococcales; Peptostreptococcaceae.
GGCUUCACGCAUGCUACAAUGGCUGGUACAGAGAGUGGCGAGCCUGUGAGGGUGAGCGAAUCUCGGAAAGCCGGUCUCAGUUCGGAUUGGGGUCUGCAACUCGACCUCAUGAAGUCGGAGUCGCUAGUAAUCGCAGAUCAGCAACGCUGCGGUGAAUACGUUCCCGGGGCUUGUACACACCGCCCGUCAAGUCAUGAAAGUUGGUAACACCCGAAGCCGGUGGCCUAACCGUUGUGGGGGAGCCGUCGAAGGUGGGACUGGUGAUUAGGACUAAGUCGUAACAAGGUAGCCGUACCGGAAGGUGCGGCUGGAUCACCUCCUUUCUAAGGAG